UGCUUUUUCUUAUUUGUUUUGAAAACAAAAUAUAAAGUAAUACUUUAAAAAGCU
This 54-nucleotide transfer RNA is filed under the name Riccardoella reaumuri. Its description in RNAcentral is "tRNA-Ser". The record is from RNAcentral. Lineage: Eukaryota; Metazoa; Arthropoda; Arachnida; Trombidiformes; Ereynetidae.